CCUACUACCCCUCCCGUCGUUGGUCCGUUCGUUCGUCCCCUACCCGAACCGACGUUAACGGUUAAGUUACCGUCCCCUCCGGGGAGGGUAACGGACGACCGCCGAACGAGUUGGAAACGUACCAAACGGAAAAGGUUAUAGGGGGACCCGGGGCCCGACCAAACGAACGGCCGGGACGGACGACUAGCGGACGUAAUUACGUAUAGCACGACGAGAACGUACCUAACGACGUGUACGACAGUUCUUCGAUCGCGUCGAGANAGUUCCCUUUCGGUCGGNGGUUCACNAGGUGGUGCAUGGUUGUCGUCAGCUCGUGUCGUGAGAUGUUGGGUUAAGUCCCGCAACGAGCGCAACCCUCGUUCCAUGUUGCCAGCACGUCGUGGUGGGGACUCAUGGGAGACUGCCGGGGUCAACUCGGAGGAAGGUGAGGACGACGUCAAAUCAUCAUGCCCCUUAUGUCUUGGGCUUC
RNAcentral lists this ribosomal RNA (469 nucleotides) under uncultured Micrococcus sp. RNAcentral describes it as "bacterial SSU rRNA". The stretch from base 288 to 453 matches the Rfam family "Bacterial small subunit ribosomal RNA", at positions 1036 to 1201 of the family's 1533-position model. Lineage: Bacteria; Bacillati; Actinomycetota; Actinomycetes; Micrococcales; Micrococcaceae. The record is from RNAcentral.